AUUGAACGCUGGCGGCAUGCCUUACACAUGCAAGUCGAACGGUAACAGGUCUUCGGAUGCUGACGAGUGGCGAACGGGUGAGUAAUACAUCGGAACGUGCCCGAGAGUGGGGGAUAACGAAGCGAAAGCUUUGCUAAUACCGCAUACGAUCUCAGGAUGAAAGCAGGGGACCGCAAGGCCUUGCGCUCACGGAGCGGCCGAUGGCAGAUUAGGUAGUUGGUGGGAUAAAAGCUUACCAAGCCGACGAUCUGUAGCUGGUCUGAGAGGACGACCAGCCACACUGGGACUGAGACACGGCCCAGACUCCUACGGGAGGCAGCAGUGGGGAAUUUUGGACAAUGGGCGCAAGCCUGAUCCAGCCAUGCCGCGUGCAGGAUGAAGGCCUUCGGGUUGUAAACUGCUUUUGUACGGAACGAAAAGACUCUGGUUAAUACCUGGUGUCCAUGACGGUACCGUAAGAAUAAGCACCGGCUAACUACGUGCCAGCAGCCGCGGUAAUACGUAGGGUGCGAGCGUUAAUCGGAAUUACUGGGCGUAAAGCGUGCGCAGGCGGUUAUAUAAGACAGAUGUGAAAUCCCCGGGCUCAACCUGGGAACUGCAUUUGUGACUGUAUAGCUAGAGUACGGCAGAGGGGGAUGGAAUUCCGCGUGUAGCAGUGAAAUGCGUAGAUAUGCGGAGGAACACCGAUGGCGAAGGCAACCACCUGGACUGAUACUGACACUGAGGUGCGAAAGCGU
This 737-nucleotide ribosomal RNA is filed under the name uncultured bacterium. RNAcentral describes it as "bacterial SSU rRNA". It matches the Rfam family "Bacterial small subunit ribosomal RNA", at positions 28 to 762 of the family's 1533-position model. The record is from RNAcentral.